Molecule: ribosomal RNA, 493 nt
Filed under: uncultured bacterium
Lineage: Bacteria
Description: partial 16S ribosomal RNA
Rfam family: Bacterial small subunit ribosomal RNA
Source: RNAcentral
GACGAACGCUGGCGGCGUGCUUAACACAUGCAAGUCGAACGGUGAAGCGCCUUCCUUUUUGGUGUGUGUGGAUGAGUGGCGAACGGGUGAGUAACACGUGAGUAACCUGCCCCCUCCUUCUGGAUAACCGCAAGAAAGUGUGGCUAAUACGGGAUAUUCUGGGUCUGUCGCAUGAUGGGUCUGGGACAGAUAUUGUUUCGGUGGGGGAUGGGCGCGCGGCCUAUUAGCUUGUUGGUGGGGUGAUGGCCUACCAAGGCGGUGACGGGUAGCCGGCCUGAGAGAGUGGACGGACACGAUCGGAGUGAGGGUCCGCACAGAUACGGAAGGGAGGAGGCGGGAAGGAAGAUUGAUGAGCGGGAGCAUGACGGAGGCAGGCACGGCGUGUGAGGGAGGGAUGCGGUUGGUAAAUGACCCUCUUUCGGGAGUAAAGUAGGUCUGCCUAGUUUGUGGGUGGUUUGACGUUAGCUGGAUAGAAGCGCCGGCUAACUACGUG